CAGCCGCCACGGGAAUACGGAGGGUGCAAGCGUUAAUCGGAAUUACUGGGCGUAAAGCGCACGCAGGCGGUCUGACAAGUCAGAUGUGAAAUCCCCGGGCUCAACCUGGGAACUGCAUUUGAGACUGUAUGGCUAGAGUAUGUCAGAGGGGGGUAGAAUUCCACGUGUAGCAGUGAAAUGCGUAGAUAUGUGGAGGAAUACCGAUGGCGAAGGCAGCCCCCUGGGAUAACACUGACGCUCAUGCACGAAAGCGUGGGGAGCAAACAGGAUUAGAUACCCCGGUAGUCCCUGUCUCUUAUAC
RNAcentral lists this ribosomal RNA (301 nucleotides) under uncultured bacterium. RNAcentral describes it as "partial 16S ribosomal RNA". It matches the Rfam family "Bacterial small subunit ribosomal RNA", at positions 509 to 807 of the family's 1533-position model. The record is from RNAcentral.